This is a non-coding RNA of Podarcis lilfordi (Lilford's wall lizard), 1131 nucleotides long. The record is from the annotation of a GenBank genome assembly. Lineage: Eukaryota; Metazoa; Chordata; Lepidosauria; Squamata; Lacertidae.
CAAUGCAUCAAUGGAACGCGUGCAUUUUAAAAAUCUAUUCAGCGUAACCCCUGCAAAGAAAUCAUUAACUGUGGGAUGUUGAUGCUGCACGGCCAAGUCAACCAGCUUGUACAUGCACUUGUUGACUGACAGGUAGGGAUGAAAGAAUCUGUCAGUUUUGAUUCUCAGAGAGUCUAUUUUUUCAGCUUUAACUUCUGUUCUCUACAAUUCCAUAGCAAUUUGCAAUUUUUAAAAAACAACAACAACAAACACUCAUGAAAAUUCACUAGCAAUUUUUUUCUCCUGAUGAACAUAUUUUUGUAUGCAGUUUUUGAUUAGUAUACAUUUUUUUGCAAGCUGUUUCCCUAAAAAAACAACAACAAACAAACCAGGGCCUUCUGAAGGAGUACAUACAAUAUUUCCAUUUCUGGUUGAGAAAUAGCAAAAUAUGACCAGAAGCCAAAAGACACAAAUCCUGGCACAUAAACUUCACCUUUGCAUUCCACAUACCAGACCACAUUACCAAGAAGUGUGGGUCCAGGUACUCCAAAAGGCAUUCAUAUUGAUAGAGCUGUUCAUAUGAAGCCACUGGGGGUCAUGGUGAGAAUCCAAACAGUAUGUGAAAAACCCAUUUCAUUUUUGAAGGUAAUAACACCGUUAACCCUUCCAGUGUGAUCCACUAGUUUUUCAUACUAGGGCUGUGUCAAUUUUUUUCUCCCAUGCAUUUUUCAACCACUCUUUCUUAAUUGAUAAGAAAGGCUAUUGCAUUCAAAAACUAUCAAAGGGGAGAGAAAAAUUGAGUGAAAUUCUCAUAAGGAAAUCCCCAAAGGCUUGUUCACAUGUCACACAGGCGUGAGCUGUCACUACACAUGUACAAGUGUGCACUUGUCGAUUUGCACAGCUGAAAUAUUCUGUUCACAGCUACAUAAAUUGUAUAUGUUUUGUGUAUUACGUGUGACUAACACAUGAGUGUACAGUUCAGUUAUUUGUGUACACUGAUUGUACACUUAUUGAAUGUAACAUGUGAACAUCCCUUGUGUGAAAGUGUGUAUUUGUUUAUUUGCACAGCUCAACCGUUGGACACAGAUGCAAAAACUGAAUGCUCACCAAAUGUUACAUGUAAAGAAGUAUACAGCUCAAUGAUGUUUGUAC